AGAGUUUGAUCCUGGCUCAGGACGAACGCUGGCGGCGUGCCUAAUACAUGCAAGUAGAACGCUGAAGACUGGUGCUUGCACUAGUCAGAUGAGUUGCGAACGGGUGAGUAACGCGUAGGUAACCUACCUCAUAGCGGGGGAUAACUAUUGGAAACGAUAGCUAAUGCCGCAUGACAAUUAAGUACUCAUGUACUAAAUUUAAAAGGAGCAAUUGCUUCACUAUGAGAUGGACCUGCGUUGUAUUAGCUAGUUGGUGAGGUAACGGCUCACCAAGGCCACGAUACAUAGCCGACCUGAGAGGGUGAUCGGCCACACUGGGACUGAGACACGGCCCAGACUCCUACGGGAGGCAGUAGUAGGGAAUCUUCGGCAAUGGGGGCAACCCUGACCGAGCAACGCCGCGUGAGUGAAGAAGGUUUUCGGAUCGUAAAGCUCUGUUGUUAGAGAAGAACGGUAAUGGGAGUGGAAAAUCCAUUACGUGACGGUAACUAACCAGAAAGGGACGGCUAACUACGUGCCAGCAGCCGCGGUAAUACGUAGGUCUCGAGCGUUGUCCGGAUUUAUUGGGCGUAAAGCGAGCGCAGGCGGUUAUUUAAGUCUGAAGUUAAAGGCCGUGGCUCAACCAUGGUUCGCUUUGGAAACUGGAUAACUUGAGUGCAGAAGGGGAGAGUGGAAUUCCAUGUGUAGCGGUGAAAUGCGUAGAUGUAUGGAGGAACACCGGUGGCGAAAGCGGCUCUCUGGUCUGUAACUGACGCUGAGGCUCGAAAGCGUGGGGAGCAAACAGGAUUAGAUACCCUGGUAGUCCACGCCGUAAACGAUGAGUGCUAGGUGUUAGGCCCUUUCCGGGGCUUAGUGCCGCAGCUAACGCAUUAAGCACUCCGCCUGGGGAGUACGACCGCAAGGUUGAAACUCAAAGGAAUUGACGG
This 926-nucleotide ribosomal RNA is filed under the name Streptococcus parauberis. Its description in RNAcentral is "bacterial SSU rRNA". It matches the Rfam family "Bacterial small subunit ribosomal RNA", at positions 8 to 916 of the family's 1533-position model. The record is from RNAcentral. Lineage: Bacteria; Bacillati; Bacillota; Bacilli; Lactobacillales; Streptococcaceae.